GAAAUGCGAUACGUAGUACGAAACGCAAGUCGUGAAUCAUCGAAUCUUUGAACGCACAUUGCGCUGUGUGGCAUUCCACACAGCAUGCCUGUUUGAGCAAUAUUUCUCUCUCGCAAGGUGUUGGGCACCACGCCGGCAGGCGUCUGCCAGAAACGAAAUUGUCUAAAACAGUUAAGCUUGUUACAGACUCUUGAUCUUAUUCUCAAAUCAGGUAGGACUACCCGCUGAACUUAA
This 234-nucleotide unclassified non-coding RNA is filed under the name uncultured Saccharomycetales. RNAcentral describes it as "sequence contains ITS1". The stretch from base 1 to 102 matches the Rfam family "5.8S ribosomal RNA", at positions 50 to 154 of the family's 154-position model. Lineage: Eukaryota; Fungi; Ascomycota; Saccharomycetes. RNAcentral also lists the same sequence under 1 other name. The record is from RNAcentral.